Molecule: ribosomal RNA, 434 nt
Filed under: uncultured bacterium
Lineage: Bacteria
Description: partial 16S ribosomal RNA
Rfam family: Bacterial small subunit ribosomal RNA
Source: RNAcentral
AGCGAACGCUGGCGACAGGCCUAACACAUGCAAGUCGAACGAACCUUUCGGGGUUAGUGGCGGACGGGUGAGUAACACGUGGGAACGUGCCUUUAGGUUCGGAAUAACUCAGGGAAACUUGUGCUAAUACCGAAUGUGCCCUUCGGGGGAAAGAUUUAUCGCCUUUAGAGCGGCCCGCGUCUGAUUAGCUAGUUGGUUGAGGUAAUGGCUCACCAAGGCGACGAUCAGUAGCUGGUCUGAGAGGAUGAUCAGCCACAUUGGGACUGAGACACGGCCCAAACUCCUACGGGAGGCAGCAGUGGGGAAUCUUGCGCAAUGGGCGAAAGCCUGACGCAGCCAUGCCGCGUGAAUGAUGAAGGCCUUAGGAUUGUAAAAUUCUUUCACCGGGGACGAUAAUGACGGUACCCGGAGAAGAAGCCCCGGCUAACUUCGUG